Molecule: long non-coding RNA, 1145 nt
Organism: Erpetoichthys calabaricus (reedfish)
Lineage: Eukaryota; Metazoa; Chordata; Cladistia; Polypteriformes; Polypteridae
Exons: 4
Source: RefSeq, a predicted model, not a curated record
UCCUUCUCAAAAAGUGCGAGGCAGAUAAUGGGAUAUGAAGACUGCCUACUAAUGAAACUGCCCAAAAUGCAUAGUGUUGUCUGGGCAUGUGGACAGCACAUCAGAUUGAUUUGUUAGUUAUGAACUCUUCAGUCGACUGAGGAAAAUAUAGCUGACUCCAUGUCCACGCUCUUUACUAGGUUCCUUGGAAAAUUUUCAAACCCCUCAAAAAAGCUUGGAGAAGCCAUCGAGUGAAGCCCUUAGCUCUGCCCCUUCUGGUGAUCACACAGUAAAAAAGCUCAGCCACUCAGACGGAGCUCCCAAGAUCGAUUCAGUACUUUCCUUACAGCCAGGAGCUUAUUCUGUUGAAUUACGAACGGAGGAUAGUGAAAACUGUACAUGACUGAUCUGCCUUACAUGGAAUUAAGGCAGCACCCCAACUGGCCAAGGACUUUAUGAGUGGUGCCUUUCAUUGACUCUGAUCUAUGGCCGUUAAAAAACAAAGGGAAAACCCCCAAAGGUGGGAAAGAUACAGUUCAUACAUAUGCAAAGUUGAAAGCUCCUGUUGUAAAUGAUACUAAUCUUUCUGCCCUACUAUGCUAAUACAAAUUAUGUAUGAAAUAUGCAACAUAAUUAUGCAGUAAUUAUUGCUCCCCAAAACCUAAAAAAACAGCAGAAUGAAUCCACAGAGAGUAGACAGCUCUACGAUGUUAAAAAUGUUUUACCACUUUUUCUGCUUCCUGUCAUCCACAGAGUGACAGAGAAAAUGAAAAAACUUUCCAUCAUAGACCUUUAUUAAGAGUUAUUGCGUCCUUUGACACACUUCACAGUCUCAAUACCUUUGAGUUUUCUAGAGCAAACAAUUGUGCUGUAGUUCCUUUCUGAAGUGUUAGAAAUGGGGAUAAUUCAUAAAAAUAGAGUUCUCCAUUAUCUCAACAAUAUGUUUAUUGUGAGAGUGUUCUUUUUCUUCACUUAAAGUCCACCACCAGUUCUGUUGCGGCAUUAGAAUUUAUUUCCAGAUCAUUUAGGUUACACUAUUUGCAUAAGUUUGGAUAUCUCAUGUCUCUAUACAUUCUCAUCAUAAUGUAGCAACUUAGGCAUGAGAUGUCCUGUUGGUGGGACACUGCCAUGUUUUAAAGUUGUUUAUUUUGUUCUAUUUUUGCAUA